GAUUUAAUUCCAUGUGGCUGUGGGACUAAGGUUUCCAUUUCCUUGCUGGCUGUUGGUUGAAGUUUCUCAUGGCUGCCCACAUUCCCUGGUUCCUGACCCCUCCAUUUCUAAGCCCUAAGUGGCAUAUCUGAUCCUUCUUCUGCUUCUAAUCUUGCUGAUUUCUUGUCUUCUUUUAAGGGUUUAUGUGAUUACAUUGGUCGUAACCAGGUAAUCCAGGAUCAUUUCCCUAUGCUCAUGCCAGCUGAUUAGUAAUCUGACUUACAUCUGGAAAGUCCCAUUUGGCAUGAUCCUGACUGCUACAGCAUGUAAAGUCCCUGGCAUGCCUGGCUCCCUCCACACAAUGCCUGCCAAUGUCUUCCUCAAACCUUGCUUGGCUACAGGGUGUUGUUCGCAGUCAAGGAGAAAAGUCCUGACCUUGAUAUCCGGAAUCUGGACCACAAUGUAGAACCUUUGAAAAAGUGGGAAAAUAACAGUCCCCAAAGUAGAAGAAUAACAUCCACAGCUUUCUUGGAAAUUCUGCACUGAAAGCGAACCUGUAAUAAGUAUGGUUUAUGUCCAUUGCUCUUAUAUGUUGUCCCCCUGUAUACUGCCAACUGCAGCACUGUCUUGUUCCUCAUCCUGUGUUUUAGAUGACUGCUGAGUCCUCUAACAUAUGUGUGAUGAUUAAUACUGUGUCAACUUAAUUGGAUUGAAAGACAAAGUAUUAAUCCUGGGUGUGUCUGUGAGGGUGUUGCCAAAGAAGAUUAACGUUUGAAUGAGUGGGCUGGGAAAGGCAGACCCACCCUUAAUCUGGAUCGGCACCAUUUAAUCAGAUGCCACCACACCUAGAACGUAAAGCAGGCAGAAAAUUGUGGAAAGAGACUGGCCUAGCCUCCCAGUCUACAUCUGUCUCCCAUGCUGGAUGCUUCCUGCCCUUAAACAUUGGACUUCAAGUUCUUCAGUUUUGAAACUCGGACUGGCUCGCCCUGCUCCUCGGCCUGCAGAUGGUCUAUUGUGGGACUUUGUGAUUCCGUGAGCUCUGCCCCUCUAGAGAACCCUGACUAACACAACAUGAGGAAGAGGAGCAGACCAAAAGAUAGAAAAACAAAGUUUGUUUUCUGUCACUGAUCCCGAAAAUAUACAUCUCUAAAGGAGUUUCUCCCAGUGACUGGUUACAUGAUUGGGUAAAAGUGGCCCAAGAACAAUCUGAAGUUGACUAAGUCCUUUAAAAAUGGUAUUUAAAAUUUCAGUAAGGUUUGAC
Molecule: long non-coding RNA, 1240 nt
Organism: Callithrix jacchus (white-tufted-ear marmoset)
Lineage: Eukaryota; Metazoa; Chordata; Mammalia; Primates; Cebidae
Source: Ensembl